UUAGUUGGUCGGCGGGGUAACGGCCCACCGAGGUGCCGAUGCGUAGGGCUUCUGAGAGGAAGGCCCCCCACACUGGUAAUGAGACACGGACCAGACUCCUACGGGAGGCAGCAGUGAGGAAUAUUGGUCAAUGGGCGGGAGCCUGAACCAGCCAAGCCGCGUGAGGGAAGAAGGUACAGCGUAUCGUAAACCUCUUUUGUCAGGGAACAAAGGCGGGGACUAGUCCCCGGAUGAGGGUACCUGAAGAAAAAGCAUCGGCUAACUCCGUGCCAGCAGCCGCGGUAAUACGGAGGAUGCGAGCGUUAUCCGGAUUUAUUGGGUUUAAAGGGUGCGCAGGCGGCCUGUUAAGUCAGCGGUAAAAGCCCGGGGCUCAACCCCGGCGAGCCGUUGAAACUGGCGGGCUGGAGUUGGAGAGAAGUACGCGGAAUGCGCGGUGUAGCGGUGAAAUGCUUAGAUAUCGCGCAGAACCCCGAUUGCGAAGGCAGCGUACCGGCUCCACACUGACGCUGAGGCACGAAAGCGUGGGUAUCGAACAGGAUUAGAUACCCUGGUAGUCCACGCAGUAAACGAUGAAUGCUUGCUGUCCGGGCAGAGAUAUGCCUGUGGGGCGAAGCGAAAGCGAUAAGCAUUCCACCUGGGGAGUACGCCGGCAACGGUGAAACUCAAAGGAAUUGACGGGGGCCCGCACAAGCGGAGGAACAUGUGGUUUAAUUCGAUGAUACGCGAGGAACCUUACCCGGGCUCAAACGGGAGACGGCAGGGACAGAGACGCCCCUUUCCCUCGGGACGUCUUCCGAGGUGCUGCAUGGUUGUCGUCAGCUCGUGCCGUGAGGUGUCGGCUUAAGUGCCAUAACGAGCGCAACCCCCGCGUGCAGUUGCCAGCAGGAAAGGCCGGGGACUCUGCACGGACUGCCGGCGCAAGCCGCGAGGAAGGCGGGGAUGACGUCAAAUCAGCACGGCCCUUACGUCCGGGGCGACACACGUGUUACAAUGGGGGGUACAGCGGGAAGACAGGCGGAGAAGCCGACCGGAACCCGAAAGCCCCUCUCAGUUCGGAUAGGAGUCUGCAACCCGACUCCGUGAAGCUGGAUUCGAUAGUAGUCGCGCAUCAGCCAUGGCGCGGUGAAUACGUUUCCGGACCUAGCACACACCGCCCUUCAAG
This 1162-nucleotide ribosomal RNA is filed under the name uncultured bacterium. RNAcentral's name for it is "bacterial SSU rRNA". It matches the Rfam family "Bacterial small subunit ribosomal RNA", at positions 241 to 1401 of the family's 1533-position model. The record is from RNAcentral.